RNAcentral lists this ribosomal RNA (419 nucleotides) under Cliona mariae. Its description in RNAcentral is "partial large subunit ribosomal RNA". The record is from RNAcentral. Lineage: Eukaryota; Metazoa; Porifera; Demospongiae; Clionaida; Clionaidae.
GUUAGGAGGGAAACGAAUGCAGCUGAAGUGGCUCCGUAUCAGGUUCAGGGGGUGUCGGCGGAUAUUCCGGGUGUGGGCAGCUAGCGCGUCCUCGCUCGGAUAGGACGUCGACUUCCCUGCACUCCCGUUGGGAGCCGGCCAACAGCGGUUGCCCGUGGCCCAGAAGGUCGGUCGGGAGGUGACUCUGCACUCGUGCAGAGAGCGUAUAGCCGUCCGUCCGGAGGUCUGGGGGCGACCGAGGAGAGUCGUGAGUCUUCACGUGUGCGGCGCAGGCCCUAGCGGGCCGGGUCGCCUCUGUCCGUUUGGGCCCCGCGACGGGGACUGCUUGCAGUGUCCGCCGACGGUCAGUCUGCUCGGUCGGGGGAUCGACCACGCCCUGCGCUCCGGUUGUUGGUGCUCAAAUGGCUGCAUCCGACCCG